Centrocercus urophasianus (Greater sage-grouse) is the source of this 5303-nucleotide long non-coding RNA. RefSeq lists it as uncharacterized. The record is from RefSeq and is a predicted model, not a curated record. The transcript has 4 exons. NCBI's taxonomy places the organism in Eukaryota, Metazoa, Chordata, Aves, Galliformes, Phasianidae.
GGCGAGGACCGCCAGCAGACGCUGCCGUGACUCCGUGCGGUCCGCUCUUUGUGCAGCCCAGGUCCACGCGGUCCCUUUCUUGGCCAGCAAGCUGUCUGGAAAGGAGAUGGGUUAAAAUGCGGAGCUGAUAACUGUGGGGACAAAAUUGACUUCCACGCACGUUGCCUUUCCUGUCUCAGGCAUUCUCUUUCUCAUGCUUUAACAUUUGUCCACCUAUGGGAAUCUGGAGGCUUUUCAUCUCUAAGUCUCAGCAUCCUGAUCUCGGGGGGAUGGGGGUGGGGGAGAUGAAUUGGCGGCGGCUCUGUGGCGGAAGUCAGGCAACGAAGUGAAGCCAGCACACUUGGGCUUUCUCUUUGUGAGUUCUCACUCCCCCUGGCUCCAGCCUCUGGUGAAAGCUGCAGAGUUUGGACUACUCCUGAAUUUCUGUUUCUGGACUGGGUUAGCAAGAAGUAAACCAAUCGAGUCAGUCUCUUACCCGUAACUUGUUUUCCAUACCUGUGUGACGCACUUUCCUUGGGCAGGGCCGUUUGUCUCCAGCUCUUGGGUCCAGCAUUUUCUGUAUCUUUUGCUCGUGACUAUUCCAGCAUGGAGCUCUGUGUCUCUUGGUUGGGAAUGGCCAGAUGGGUCUGAGGGAAAAGUUUCUGUGUCCAACUUGGAUGUGUGAGACAGCGACUCCCUCACCAAAGUUCAGAACCUCACACAAUGUACGUUUUUAUUCUUUACUUUGCAGGAGGUGUAAGGGCAGAGCAGGCAAAGGACAAGUAGGGUGUUAGUGGGGUACAGCCCUGCAUUUUUUAAGGGCAGUGGCCCUUGCACUGCAGGAGGAAGUGCAGAGUCAUUUCAGCGCCCUAGAGAAUAAGGGCAGUAAUUUUGCCCUUUUUACUCUUUGUUGCACUUCUUGGUCUCUGCACGGUGAACAGGUAUGUGAAACUUGUGCAUGUUCGAGUGGAGUGCUGUGUCUACGUGUUCCUGACGCUUUGGUGAAAACUUUACAUAGAAGUUGACUUUUCGAGUUUGUAAACAUCUGUGCUAGUUGUACCAUACUGUCAUGCAGACAGAGAAAGUGUUGUGGACAGACGAAAAUAAAGCAGCAGUCGAGUUAUGAAAGAGCAUUUUGCCCUUAGCAGAACCAACACGGAAAGCAUCGACGAUGUUCAGAAAUACACGGCUACAAAACUUACUGCCUGCUUUCCGUUGUAGGAACGUCCUAUUUUCUAAGAGCGCGGUAACUCCACGCUGAAGGGCCCGAAACGUUUCCCUGGGCUGUCGGAUCUGCCCGCUUAAUUCCUUUCACUUUUGUUUACGCGCUGAAUAAACACUGCUCUGUGGCAGCAGACCUGAGCCGUCAGAUGGAAUCGGGGGGCCGCCGCAGCGUCUCGCGCAGCAGCUUCAGUCACCGCCGACGAUGCACCCUCUGGUGGGAGCCUGCUGGGGACUAUUCCACCCCUGCACACAGAGCGCUUGGAAAGCCUCCGAAUCAAAGCAGUACUGGUCUUGAUGCAAAGCCAAUGGAAAUAUCUACAUUACAUUUAAUGGCCUCUGGAGCAAGCACUUACGGAAAUGUGAUGUCUUACUGGGCUGCUUGCUACAACCACACCGAUGAAGAAAGCAGUGGCUGCUGUCAAGGGAGGACUGGCCUUGAAGAUAUGUGACUUGAUAUCUGUGAUGGUUGUAGUCUUCCAGUACACACUUACAGAUGACCUUACCACUAUUUCCACAGAAUCAUAGCUAGGAUUGCAGAAUACCUGUGGCUGACUGGGACCUCUGCCAGAUAUUGCCCAGCAUGACCCUCCUGCUCAGGCAGGGGCAGAGAGAACAGGCUGCCCAGGACCGUGUCCAGUUGAGUUGUAUCUCCACAGAUGGAGACUUCACAAGCUCUCUGGGUAACCUCUGUCAGUGUUCAACCACCCUCACAGCGAAAAAUUGUUUCCUUAUGUUCAGAAGGAGCCUCCCGUGUUUCAGUUUGUGCCUAUUGCCUCUUGUGCUGUAUUCAUACACACAGUAAGCCUGUCCUGAACAUUUCCUCCCUGAGACAGAAGAGCCCCAUAUCUCAAACUCUGCUUAUUGCCCAGCCCAGGAAAGCAGCUCCCCAGGGCAGAAAGAUGCAACAAGCUUGUUCCUGCAAGAUUUCCAUCUUAUCUCAGACUUGUAGACUUGAUGAAACUCUGUGAAACACAGAGGAAUUUCUCAGAGGGCUCAGUGUCCUCAGGAGCCACACUUGCUGCCUGCAGCCCUCCUGGCACGCUGUCCUUGUCUGGGCACAGCCCCGGCACGAGCCAGCAGCUCAGUGGGUCUCCUCUUGGAGGCUGCUUCUGGACAGUGCUCCCCUCAGCGCUCCUGCCUGAACCAGCUUCUCCACUGCUGCCAGACAGGAGAAGCUCAGCUCAGCCCGGUUCAGCUGCUUUGGGCAUAUUUGGGACACGUCAGGUCAGAAUGUUACGCUUUUGAUAGGCAUGGGUCAACUGUUCCAGGCUGAAAGCAAGGGCGUGCUUCACUUGGUUUUUCAGUGCAGUGAGCAGUGAUAGCGGAGGGGUGAGAUCGGUCAGAAUACGGAGCAACCUGGACACAUGGACAGUGUUAUUAUGUAUAAAAACAGUUGAAACUUAAAACUGAUUGGAAAAAAAGAAGUGACACAAAAAUGAGAUUCUUUUUGAUGACAGGAUCGACUUCCAUUAAACCAUCCACAGUUGAGAGCUUGCUGCCUUAAAGAGGCAAAUGGCAAUCUUGAUUUAAAACAAACAAAUAAAUCUCCCCUUUUUCCUGUUUGCUUAUGCCACUAUUCCCACUAUGUAAUCUGAGCAUAAAGGAAAGCAUGCUGCUAAACUUUCUGAAGCCUUCAUUUAGCAUCUGCAUGUAGAACUUUAAAAGAAAAAAUACAAACAAGUUGAACGUACAUAUGGAGACUUGGAAGAUUGUAUCACAGAUAAGGAAAACGCUUAGGAUUUUCUUUUUGUAUGUGUAAUGCCUUUGCAACCUACUCGCAACGUUAUUCCCUGCAUGAGGGCCCCCUAAUUAUUUCAUCAUGCAGCAGGAAAUUCUGGUAGGUCAUAUAUAAACAGCCCGAGGCAGGGACCUCUUCAUCAGAUAGAGCGUGACAUCUGACAUCUGCGCAGCCUGCCGCUCGCAUGCCACAAUUAGCCAGGCAGCCCCAACACUAAUGCAAGAGCAACUGGGAGCGUGGGGCUAACCGGUGUGGCAAAGGUCUCCCCUAAUCCCGACACAAACAUAGGAAGUGUCCCUUCCUAGGCCCACGUCCACGCUGAGCUCAGCAGCGGCGCAGUGCUGCCUGCCCACACGCUGUGGGGCCCCGGCCCUCCUUCGCAGCAAGCUCUGCCCACGCGUGAGGAGAUGCACACAGCCCUCUGUAAGCUCCGUGCAGAGCCAGCUGUCUGCAGAAGCUGUGCCGCAGCCAGGAUGCUGUGCCAAGGCAGCAGAGGAGCAGCGCAGUUACUGUGCCGUGCUUGGAGCAUGCCCUGGCACUGGGGCACCGCUGGGGAUGGUGUGGCUCCACCAGCUGAGAGGCAGAGAUCACGGUGAGAAGCAGCUGGGAGCAGGAGACAGCUGACAAAUCAGGUGACUGUGAGGAAUCAGGGCUCUGUGUCACACACGAUCCACAAUUGCUUAUUUUUUCUUUUAACCGUACUUAUUUUUUUAGUUCCUCUGUUAAAAAAAAAAAAAAAAGAAAAAGCAAAUUAUUUUUCCUAAAAUGAGUAAUGGUCAGUGGUAUUUCCUUGGCACAGAAAAAUGGCUCCUAAGAGAAAUUGUUGCAAGUAGCAUUCCAGGGAGAACUUUGAAGUAAGUGGAAAAGUGCAGGAAAAGCAUGUGCCACCAUGCUGCCCUCCAGCAUUUUUACCUGAAAUUCCCUGCUCUUCACCUCCCCUCCCUGUGCAGGCUUGCCCAGGUCCUGCCGUGAGCUCAGGAGGGCUGUUCAGCACUGCUGGCUCUGGCACUUGGUUAGCUCAUGUGCCUUUCUUGGAUGAAAGAGACCCCGGGAAAAACAAAGGAAAACUCCAAUUGAAGGAAUGCCUCAGGGAAAGAACAGUUCCAUAAGGUGACGUGUUUCUUCCCUCUGGUGUGUAUUUCCACAGCCUUCAAACAUACCACUCUCUUUCAUUCCUAUUAAUAUUGCUGUUGUUGUUCAGACUAUUGGUUUGUAUUUUCAUACACCAUGGCUGCAUUGAACUAAAACUUUUUUUUCCUGAAUGCAUUUUUGGUCUUCAACCUUAAGUCCAGUCCUAGCAAAGUCUAUGUUUAGCAGUUUUCUGCGGUCUUUCAAAAUCUAUUUACAUAGGAAAAUGUUCUUUUUGUUAGUGUGCAUUUAAAAACAUGAUAAAUUCUACAAGAUUGAAGAAAUCGAAGGCAGCCUCUUAGGCUUGCUAUAGGACUGCUGGGCACGAGCUCUGCUGAAUCUCGCACUAAGAGUCUUCAUACAAACAAUUCAUAAUCGGUCUUUUGUCAACUUUCAGUCAUUCAGUAAUGCUUAGGAUUUCCUGAAAAGUCAACUUUUUUCUCCCCCCAGGGUAGGUGACCGAAUCAGGUUAAGUUUGUUUGCUGCAAUCAGCCAUUUUACAGUCAAAGUGUAUUGCCACUGAAACACCUAUUUUCCUCUGCUCUUCCCCAGCAUACUGUCUGCAUUAGCUGCAUUUAUAACCAGCCAGUUCCUCGUUAACUUUUUUCCCAAGCUACCAUUCCCUUAUUCCAUCACGACAAAUUUGACUGUGAACUUUUACUUAGACAAGUGUAGCACAGAGUAUUUUUUUCUGCAAUUUGUGGAAGUUUAAAAUCUAAUAUCUGUGAUGGAUUUUCUGUAAGCUUUCUGCUUACAGCUUAAAUAAUUGUGUUCUUAUCCUGUCUGCAUUCCUGACCUUGGUGGUAUUCCUCAACAUCUCUUUUUCUGUACGUUUAAUAAAGGGAAAUAUUCAACCUUAAAACUUUCAGAUUUGCCUGUCAGUGAAAAAAUAAAAAACCUACAACCUCUUUUACACAGCUUUUAAGGGGAAGUUCCCAUUUACUUGUAGCUUUCUCUGCUGUAUUUGCAGCCUAAGACCAGGAUGUUCAGCUGGAAGCGAUGUCAUUUUCAUUUUUCUUUAAUCCAUAAGCAAGAACAGUGUCCUAUGAAUGUAAGGCUAACAUUACCAACAGCAAAUGAUGGUGCACUGCCAAACUUCAAAGCAUUCAGUUUAUUGUCAUCUUAUUACAGAAUAGAUAACAGAUCAUUUCCCCCCUUCAAUAAACAUUGAAGCAGUAGUUGUCACAGGGGUGGGUUAGGAGGGAAUCCUCUCAAUCCAUUUUUUAAUUCACUU